GCCCCGUUCGUCUAGCGGCUCAAGACUCCGCGCUUUCAAUGCGGCGAGACGGGUUCGACUCCCGUACGGGGUA
RNAcentral lists this transfer RNA (73 nucleotides) under Pyxidicoccus fallax. It matches the Rfam family "tRNA". Rfam says of the family: Transfer RNA (tRNA) molecules are approximately 80 nucleotides in length. Their secondary structure includes four short double-helical elements and three loops (D, anti-codon, and T loops). Further hydrogen bonds mediate the characteristic L-shaped molecular structure. tRNAs have two regions of fundamental functional importance: the anti-codon, which is responsible for specific mRNA codon recognition, and the 3' end, to which the tRNAs corresponding amino acid is attached (by aminoacyl-tRNA synthetases). tRNAs cope with the degeneracy of the genetic code in two manners: having more than one tRNA (with a specific anti-codon) for a particular amino acid; and 'wobble' base-pairing, i.e. permitting non-standard base-pairing at the 3rd anti-codon position. The record is from Rfam by way of RNAcentral. Lineage: Bacteria; Pseudomonadati; Myxococcota; Myxococcia; Myxococcales; Myxococcaceae.